This 305-nucleotide ribosomal RNA is filed under the name uncultured bacterium. Its description in RNAcentral is "bacterial SSU rRNA". It matches the Rfam family "Bacterial small subunit ribosomal RNA", at positions 334 to 656 of the family's 1533-position model. The record is from RNAcentral.
UGUACCUACGGGAGGCAGCAGUAGGGAAUAUUGCUCAAUGGGGGAAACCCUGAAGCAGCAACGCCGCGUGGAGGAUGAAGGUUUUCGGAUUGUAAACUCCUUUUGUUAGAGAAGAUAGUGACGGUAUCUAACGAAUAAGCACCGGCUAACUCCGUGCCAGCAGCCGCGGUAAUACGGAGGGUGCAAGCGUUAAUCGGAAUCACUGGGCGUAAAGCGCGCGUAGGCGGCUUUUCAAGUCAGGGGUGAAAUCCCACGGCCCAACCGUGGAACUGCCUUUGAAACUGUAGAGCUUGAGUGUCGGAGAG